RNAcentral lists this ribosomal RNA (403 nucleotides) under bacterium. RNAcentral's name for it is "partial 16S ribosomal RNA". It matches the Rfam family "Bacterial small subunit ribosomal RNA", at positions 355 to 776 of the family's 1533-position model. The record is from RNAcentral.
UGGGGAAUAUUGCACAAUGGAGGGAACUCUGAUGCAGCGACGCCGCGUGAACGAAGAAGGCUUUCGAGUCGUAAAGUUCUUUUAUAUGGGAAGAUAAUGACGGUACCAUAAGAAAAAGCCCCGGCUAACUACGUGCCAGCAGCCGCGGUAAUAGGUAGGGGGCUAGCGUUGUCCGGAAUCACUGGGCGUCAAGGGUUCGCAGGCGGAAAUGCAAGUCAGGUGUAAAAGGCAGUAGCUUAACUACUGUAAGCAUUUGAAACUGCAUAUCUUGAGAAGAGUAGAGGUAAGUGGAAUUUUUAGUGUAGCGGUGAAAUGCGUAGAUAUUAAAAAGAAUACCGGUGGCGAAGGCGACUUACUGGGCUCAUUCUGACGCUGAGGAACGAAAGCGUGGGUAGCAAACAGG